GAAUUAGAUACGCCACUGGCUGAAUCAUGCCUUAUGAAACAUAAUUACAUACAGCCCAAACCUAAUGUGAUUUGCAUUUUCUGAUCUUUUCCUUAGACACAGUCAUUGAAAUUAAUGAGGAGGAACCUAGUAGUCUUAGUGAAGUAAACCUUAUGCAUUAUUAAGAAUCUCUCAUCCCUGUUUAUUGAGGAGCCAUUGGCAGACUGAUAUUGUAGAAAAUAAAGAGAGGCUUCAGCCCGUUGGAGAGGGAGUAUAGGAAAUCAGCUCUCUCUUUUAAUGCUGCUUUGUGGAAGUGUUUGGGAGAAAAAAAAAUAACAGAUACUUGACUGUUAUAACUUACUAACUAUAGUAAAGAUAGUUACUUCUAGGGAGAAGAACUUAGGUGGUUUCCACUGGAUUAAAAAACAACCUUAUUUCUCUGCUUUCCUCCAAAUCCCCACAUAACAACAAAAACCUAACUUGUGAAAGAUCUUAAGCUCUUACUGUUUUUAAGUAGAACUUGGAUUUUCAGAUAUUUUUUAAGUUCGUAAAGCUGUUUCUUCUGACAAUAAUAGAGAUAAAUAGAGCAUUCAUACUCAAAUCCUUGUUGGUUUGGAAUUUCAAGCAAGGAUGUGAAGACAGAAGCACUCUACGAGCACUGGAAGUAUCUGGGAUACUUGUGCCUGCUUAUCGUUUUUGUUUUUUUAGGUUUCUUUCAAAAUGAAGAUUCACGCAGUGAUUGUAACUGUCUUGAUGAGCCAGGUUGUAGUUUACAAAGUUUUAUUCCAGAAGGAAAAAAGCCACUUCACCUAGAAAUUUUGCAAACAAAUCAACUUUUACUCUGUGAGUAAUCCAGGGCCUAUCAAGACUACAUUUUAGUUGACUGCAAGGCCUCUGAGGCACGGGAAUUCACAGCUGAGUUCUUGGAGAAGGUCCUUGAGCCAUCUGGAUGGCGGACAGUCUGGCACAUGAUGUGCUCAAGGUGCUGCUUGAGGCCACAGAUGUGGACAUUUCAGCCUUGAAGGCAGUGGUGCAGCUUGCUGAGCCAUACCUCUGUGAAUCUUGAGCGAGUACUUUCACCUUGGAGUGUGUGAAAGAGCUCCUCGAGCUGAAGGAACAUCAGUUGCCCCUGAAGGAGCUGGGUGGUGUUUGAUGAUUCUGGAGACAGCACUUGUAACUUGUAACUGAGCAUGUCAGCUAGGAAGGAUAGCCACUGAGCAAGCCUGUAAGGCUAUUGGUCUGCCCAUUCUGGUUUCUUCACCAAUGAGAAAACUGGGACCUGGGGAGUUUGCAGAAGCCAUCCAAGGGCACCUGCUUCUCACAGCACAGCAGCUUCCUGCAGCCCUCCCUCCUGUCUUGUUUCUCCCUUAAUUGAGAGGAGAGGCCAGAACCAGAUGCAGGCAGUUCCAACAGUAAUGAAUUGCUCUAAGGUGUGGAUCCAAGAACCGGUGACAAGGUCAGGAAAUUCCAUCCCGGGACACUGACCCAACUAAGAGACUGUGCAUGAUGGCUAAGUUCAGAGCUCUGAGGAGAUGGUAAAACUCAUUUGCAACGAAACAAGAUAUUUUCCAACUCUGCAGCCAGGUGCAGAAAGCUGGAAGUGAUGCUCCAGGGAGUUUAUGUCUCCCCAUCUUGACCCACACCAAUACCUGAGGCUCGUUGCUUUGAUUCAAGUCCGGACAAGCUCUAAGGUUCAGCUCACACUGGGAGUCACGCUGCAGGAGCUCCUGGGAGUCUGUGAACGGUGGUGAUGCAGAAAAGCAAAGCGUGUAUAUCUGUUUUAGUCCUCCCUCAGAUCUGCUGAGGACACCUUGAGCCUGAAGUGAAAUCACAGUGGCUCUCAGGAAGAAGGGUGACUGUCUGGUGUGCAGUUGUGCUGCCACGGCAAAGGGAACUUUAAAACAUAGAACUGCCAUGUAGAAGCUCAGGAAAUAUCCAUGGUCUGUCAUCUCUUUUGGUCAUAGAAUCAAAAAAAAUGGAAGACGAGAAAAGGCAGUGAAGACUGACAGCCUGUUGGUUGCUAUUCCAGUCGUGUCUGCUCCAUACGCGCCCUCCAUCUCAUCCCACCCAGUCAGUAUAUUUUCACCAGGCAGUGUUGCAGAAAUGUCUGUGGACUCCAGUUCUAUUGCAGUCAGGCAGCAUUUACAGGUUUGACUUUCAACUGACCAUGGCAGGAAGUCUAGAGGCAAUUAUAGCCAACACCUGCUCUAUGUGCGUGCCGGGCAGGUGGUGGCUGAUUCCUUGCCUCCAAUCCAUGAUGUGUUUCCUAUCAGCUCAGAAUAAUAACAGUGACACCUCUGCUUCUUCUCUGUCUGGGGGAGCUCAAGGCACUUUACUCUGAAAACCCUCAAAUUACUGGCAUUUCUUUUAGUGAAGAUAUCAAAUUAAUGACUGAAAAAAAUGUAGAAGAUGGUUAUUGGUGAUGUUAAAAGACAAGUUUAACCCACUUCCACACAACAUGUCUUACAAGCGUAAAGUAUUUGAGUAGAGAAAACUAUGAAUCUAAAAUUGAACAAGAUGUGAAUUUAGACAGACAGCGUUUGUGGUCACAGAUGUGCCGAGAUGAAGACUGGAGGAAGGGCACAGUUUCUGUAGCAGUGACUUCCACCCAGGGUGUGUCUUGCUAUUGUGUGAAAUGAUUUUUGACACUGGACAAAUCUCUACUUCCACUUACAAUGUUUUGCCAGCUAGCUGAGGCAUUCUGGGAGGGUGAGGAGCCUGGGCUUGGGCUGACCUCAGGAAAUCCUGUGUAAAGGGCUUUUGCACACUCAGAAGCAGGCCAGGUUCACCGCUGUUAUGUGCAAUAUUCACUCCUGGCUCUUGCUUCUGAGCCUUGGCAAACCUGAGUCCUAAGAGGCCAAUGAAAAGGAAAACACGUUAAGGAGCCAGGGCGCUUCUUGGAUAUCAGCCUGAAUAGUUCUGUUUCAUCUGGACCCCAAUUUUACUCUCCUGCUGUUUUACACGGAACUAAAAAGAGCUUUACAGAGGACCAGAUAGACUGCAGGUCCCUAGGCAGUCAGGGGCCAGGCAAGGCAUAGGAGGGUGUCAGGCCUCUGAGCUCAAACUAGGCCAUCAUAUCCCCUGUGACCUGCACGUACACAUCCAGAUGGCUGGUUCCUGCCUUAACUGAUGGCAUUGUCUUGUGAAAUUCCUUCUCCUGGCUCAUCCUGGCUCAAGAGCUCCCCUACUGAGCACGUUGUGACCCCCACUCCUGCCUGCCAGAGAACAACCCCCCUUUGACUGUAAUUUUCCUUUACCUACCCAAAUCCUAUAAAAUGGCCCCACCCCUAUCUCCCUUCACUAACUCUCUUUUCGGACUCAGCCUGCCUGCACCCAGGUGAAAUAAACAGCCUUGUUGCUCACACAAAGCCUGUUUGGUGGUCUCUUCACAGGGACUCGCAUGAAAUUUGGUGCUGUGGCUCGGAUAGGGGGACCUCCCUCGGGAGAUCAAUCCCCUGUCCUCCUGCUCUUUGCUCCAUGAGAAAGAUCCACCUACGACCUCAGGUCCUCAGACCAAGCAGCCCAAGAAACAUCUCACCAAUUUCAAAUCUGGAAAGCAGCCUCUUUUUACUCUCUUCUCCAACCUCCCUCAAUAUCCCUCAACCUCUUUCUCUUUUCAAUCUUGGUGCCACACUUCAAUCUCUCCCUUCUCUUAAUUUCAAUUCGUUUCAUUUUCUGGUAGAGACAAAGGAGACACGUUUUAUCUGUGGACCCAAAACUCCGGCGCCGGUCACGGCCUGGGAAGGCAGCCUUCCCUUGGUGUUAAUCAUUGCAGGGAUGCCUCUCUGAUUAUUCACCCACGUUUCAGAGGUGUCGGACCACACAGGGACGCCUGCCUUGGUCCUUCACCCUUAGUGGCAAGUCCUGCUUUUCUGGGGGAGGGGCAAGAACCCCAACCCCUUCUCUCCAUGUCUCUACCUCUUCUCUGCUUUUCUGGGGGAGGGGCAAGAACCCCUCAACCCCUUCUCCUUCACCCUUAAUGGCAAGUCCCACUUUUCUGGGGGAGGGGCAAGAACCCCUCAACAUCUUGUCCUUCACUGUUAGCAGCAAGUCUCACUUUUCUGGGGGAGGGGCAAGAACCCCUCAAACCCUUGUCCUUCACCGUCAGCAGCAAGUCCCGCUUUUCUGGGAGAGGGGCAAGAACCUCUCAACCCCUUCUCCUUCACCCUUAGAGGCAAGUCCCGCUUUUCUGGGGGAGAGGCAAGAACCCCUUAUUUCCACAGCCCGACCUCUUAUCUCUGUGCCCUGAUCCCUUAUUUCUGUGCCCUGACCUCUUAUCUCUGCACCCCAACCCCUUAUUUCUGCACCCCCACCUCUUUCCCACUUUUCUGGAGGGUAAGAACCCCCGAACCCCUUCCCUCCAUGUCUCUACUCUCUCUUUUCUCUAGCCUUGCUUCCUUCACUAUGGGCAACCUUCCACCCUCCAUUCCUCCUUCUUCUCCCUUAGCCUGUGUUCUCAAGAACUUAAAACCUCUUCAACUCACACCUGACCUAAAACCUAAAUGCCUUAUUUUCUUCUGCAAUGCCGCUUGAUCCCAAUACAAACUUGGCAGUAGUUCCGAAUAGCCGGAAAACAGCACUUUCAAUUUUUCCAUCCUACAAGAUCUAAAUAAUUCUUGUCGUAAAAUAGGCAAACAGUCUGAGGUGCUGACGUCCAGGCAUUCUUUUACACAUUGGUCCCUCCCUAGUCUCUGUUCCCAAUGCAACUCGUCCCAAAUCUUCCUUCUUUCCCUCCCACCUGUCCCCUCAGUCCCAACCCCAAGUGUCGCUGAGUCUUUCUAAUCUUCCUUUUCUACAGACCCAUCUGACCUCUCCCCUCCUCUCCAGGCUGAGCUAGGUCCCAAUUCCUCCUCAGCUUCCGCUCCUCCACCCUGUAAUCCUUUUAUCACCUCGCCUCCUCACACCCAGUCCGGCUUACAGUUUCGUUCCUUGACUAGCCCUCCCCCACCUGCCCAGCAAUUUACUCUUAAAAAGGUGGAUGGAGCUAAAAGCAUAGUCAAGGUUAAUGCUCCUUUUUCUUUAUCCCAAAUCAGACAGCGUUUAGGCUCUUUUUCAUCAAAUAUAAAAAUCCAGCCCAGUUCAUGGCUCGUUUGGCAGCAACCCUGAAAUGCUUUACAGCCCUAGACCCUAAAAGGUCAAAAGGCCAUCUUAUUCUCAAUAUACAUUUUAUUACCCAAUCUGCUCCCGACAUUAAAUAAAACUUCAAAGAUUAAAUUCCAGCCCUCAAACCCCACAACAGGAUUUAAUUAACCUUGCCUUCAAGGUGUACAAUAAUAGAGUAGAGGCAGCCAAGUAGUAACAUAUUUCUGAGUUGCAAUUCCUUGUCUCCACCAUGAGACAAACCCCAGCCACAUCUCCAGCACACAAGAAUUUCCAAAUGCCUAAACCGCAGUGGCCAGGCAUUCCUCCAGCACCACCUCCCCCAGAAGCUUGCUACAAGUGCCAGAAAUCUGGCCACCAGGCCAAGGAAUGCCCGCAGCCCGGGAUUCCUCCUAAGCCAUGUCCCAUCUGUGGGGGACCCCACUGGAAAUCGGACUGUUCAACUCACCUGGCAGCCACUCCCAGAGCCCCUGGAACUCUGGCCCAAGGCUGUCUGACUGACUUCUUCCCAGAUCUUCUCGGCUUAGUGGCUGAAGACUGACAUGCCCGAUCGCCUCAGAAGCCCGAUAGACCAUCAUGGAUGCCGAGCUUUAGGUAACUCUCACAGUGGAGGGGAGAAACGCGAAUGGAUGCGAGGUGGUGCAAAAUCCACAAAGGAGCUCCAGGGGACGUGGCAGGAUCCCUCUGCUAUGACUGUGCUGCAUAAGAGUCUGAGCCCACGCCAACCUAGAGUGAUUCUAAAGACCAUUUCCACAUGGAGAAGCUGCCAGAACAAGCACUGCUACCCUUGGAGGCCAUUGACAUUGUGAGGUCGCUGGGACUGAAAGGAGGUUGACCAGAAGUUCUGUUUGGCAAUGCAAAGCCAGGAGGAAAAGUUAAUGGAGUUUGUCCCCCGGGUCCCAAGAAAGCUGACCCAGGACGAUGAAGCUAGAAUUUGUGUUCUAGGAGGUGCUGCUUCUUCCAGGAAAGUCUACUCAAAGCACACACUGUGAGCUGCUGCAUGUCUCUUGAGCUAGUUCACUGCAGUUUUCAUGAUGAAAGUGAUCUGUUUCAGUAAACUUUCUGUUAUUUGAGAGCAUGGGAAAAAUAUUUGCUGUGAUUUCCCAAUUCCCCAUUUUUUCUGAUUCUUUGUUGCAGUUUCCACAACUUUGUUAUCAGGCUGUGACAGAGGUUUGUGAACUGAUGAAAGCUCCAGAGCCUCCCAGGCCCUCUGAGUCUGAUGCCUGCACUCCACAAUCAGGCCUCAAGCUCAGGGCGCCUGCCACCAACCCACGCUGGGCUUCAGGGGCAGGCAGCACUUGAAUGGGGUUUGGUUAUUGUCUUUCUUUAUUUUCUCUUAUUUUAAGCCUUAAAAAAAAAAAGAUAAGGUCUUGCUCUAUUGCCCAGGCUGGAGAGAAAUGGUGUGAUCAUAGCUCACUGCAGCUUUGAAUUCCUGGGUUCAACCGAUCCUCCCACCUAAGCCUCCCGAGUAACCAGGACUGCAAGUAUGCACCACCACACCCAGUUAAUUAAAUUUGUGUGUGUGUGUGUGUGUAGAGGUGGGUUCUUGCUUUGUUGCCCAGGCUGGUCUUGAACUCUUGAGUUCAGACAAUCCUGCCACCUCAACCUCACAAAGUGCUGGAAUUACAGGCGUGAGCCACUGCACUCAGCCUCCUUAAGCCAUUUGCUUAAGUGGCUUUAUUGCAAAACAAUAUCAGAAUAACAAAGAAAUAUAAGGUCAAACUUUCCCUGUUCCCAUCUAGUCCAAUAAGCAUUGCUGCUCUUGCCAGGGAUUCUCGCCCAUCUCCAUGUGCCAGUGCAAUCCAUACUGGUUGUUCUCCUUGGCUACCCCACAUCUGAGUCUCUGCCUUGUCUGCAUUCUUCCCCACUUUAUGAAGAGAUGAGUCAGUGCCUGAUUUUUUCUGCCUCUCUUGUCACUAGGGCACAGCCAUGUGCAUGGGCCCUGUCACUCAGAAGCCCCCAUCCACCAACAACAUGGCUCUGGGGGCCUCCUCUCUCUGGAAGAAUUGGCAGUUUUAGCAAGAAAGGUUUUCAGAGGCAGCAAUGAUGGUGGAGAUGUCCAGGGCCAGUGGCAGGUCAAACCAUUCUCUGUGUCAUUUGGGGCAGUGUUUAUGCUGUCCCUCAUUUUGGUUCCCUAAGCCUCCGAACAUGUACGUGAAUUUCCGAAUAUUCUCAAUUAAAUUGUUUUUCUGUUGAAAUUGGCCUGGUUGCUUUCAACUAUGACAAACCUAGCUAUAUAAGUAUUAUUUUGUAGUGUUGGGAUUGAUAGAACUUUAUGUUCUACACAUUAGCAGAAUACCAUGUGUAUUUUUCCAUUUGACAUAAUCUUUUAUCUUUCCAUUGAUAAGUAUUAUUACUAUUUAGUGAUAUAUUAUUUGAGUUCUCUUGCCCCUUUUGGGUAGCCCAUGUUAACAGUAAUACCCAGCUGCUACACUGAGAGCCUCUGAGACUUACUGGCUUCAGGGGAGACAGCACAUUAUCAGCUGUGGUGGCCAUGGCCGAGACUCCUUUUGCCUGAGAAAAGCAGAGGAAAAUGUAGAAGGGACUUCGUCUUGCAUCUGAGACACCAGCACAGCCACAGGGUGGUAGAGCACCAAGGGGGCUUUUGGAAUCUUUGAUUCUGGGAUGUGGCUCUUGGAAGGCAUUUCUGGACUUGCCCUGGGCCAGGGGGAGCCCACUGUCUUAAAGGGUGAGUCCCAGGCCAGGCAGCAUUUGCCACAGUCGACUGAAGAGCCCUGGGGGCCUUCAAGGGACAUAGAAGGUAAUCUGAAAGUACUCCGCAUAGGCCUGUGGGGUGGUGGCCAUGGGGCAAGGCUGCCCUGCCUCUGGAAAGGGUAGGAGAGAGUGAGAAAGACUGCAUCCUGUUGUCCGAGUGCCAGCUCAGCCACAGUACAAUAGAACACCAGCUAGGCUCCCAGCCAGCACCUCUGGACCAGCCUGGAAACUGGGGGUAACUCAUCGCCCUGAAGGGAAGGACAAAGGCCUGGCUGGCUUUGCCGUCUGCUGAUUGUUGAGCCCUAGGCGGGGAGCGGUUACAGUCGGCCUUGGGUGAGACUCAGAGCUGCACUGGCUUCAGGUCUGACUCAGCACAGUCACAGUGAUGGUGGCCACAGGGGUGCUUAUGUCACUCUAUCCCAGCUUUAGGUGGCUCAGAACAGACACACUCCAUUUCUUUGGGAGAAAGUAAGAAAGAGAACAAGAGUCUCUCUGAUAAUCCAGAGAGUUCUCCCAGAUCUUGUCCAAGAUCAUCAAGGCAAUACCACUGAGUCUGCAAAAACUGCAGUGUUACUGGGCUUGGGGUGCCCCCUAAAACAGAUACAACUUAGAUCACAACACCCAUGGCCUUUUAAAUAUGUGAAAAGCCUUCCCAAGAAGGACGGGUACAAACAAGCCCAGAUAGCAAAGGCUACAAUAAAUACCUAACUCUUCAAUUCCAGACACAAAUGGACACCUACAAGUAUCAAGACAUUCCAGGAAAAAAAUGACCUCACCAAAUGAACUAAAUAAAGCAUCAGGGACCCAUCCUGAAGAAACAGAUACGUGACCUUUUAGACAGAGAAUACAAAAUAGCCACUCUGAGGAAACUCAAAGAAAUUCAAGAUAACACAGAGAAGGAAUUCAGAAUUCUAUCAGAUAAAUUUAACAAAGAGAUUGAAAUCAUUCAAAAUGAUCAAACAGAUACUGUGGAGAUAAAAAAUGGAAUUGGCAUACUAAAGAAUGCAUCAGAGUCUUAAUAAUAGAAUUAAUCAAGUAGAAGAAAGAAUUAGCUUGAAGACAGGCUAUUUCAAAAUACACAGUUAGAGGACUCAAAAGAAAAUAGAAUAAAAAAUAAUGAAGCAUGUCAAAGAAUCUAGAAAAUAGCCUCAAAAGGACAAAUCUAAGAGUUAUUGGCCUUAAAGGGGAGACAAAGAAAGAGAUAAGGGUAGAAUGUUUAUUCAAAGGGAUAAUAACAGAGACUUUUCGAAACCCGGAUAAUAAUAUCAAUAUCCAAGUACAAGAAAACAGAACACCAAGCAGAUUAAAUCCAAAGAAGACUGCCUCAAGGCAUUUAAUAAUCAAAUUCUAAAGAUCAAGGGUAAAGAAAGGAUCCUAAAAGUAACAAGGGAGAAGAAACAGAUAACAUACAAUGGAUCUCCAGUAUGUCUUGCAGUGGACUUUUCAGUGGAAACCUUAAAGUCCAGGAGAGAGUGGCACAACACAUUUAAAGUGCUGAAAGAAAGAAACUUUUACCCUAGAAUAGUAUAUCCAGCAAAAAUAUUCUUCUAACAUGAAGAAAAAAUAAAGACUUUCCCAGGCAAACAAAAGCUGAGGGAUUUUAUCAGCACUAGACCUGUCUUAUGAGAAAUGCCAAAGGGAGUACUUCAAUCAGAAAGAAAAGGAUGUUAGUAAGUAAUCAUGCGAAAGUACAAAAUUCAUGGGUAAUAGUAAGCACACAGAAAAACACAGAAUUUUAUAUCCCUGUAACUGUGAUGUGUAAACUACUAUUAUUCUAAGUAGAAAAACUAAAUGAUGAACCAAUCAAAAAUAAUAACUAUAACAAUUUUUCAAGCCAUAGACAGUACUAUAAGAUAUAAAUAGAAACAACAAAAAGUUUAAAAUCAGGACAAAGUUAAGACGUAGAGUUUUUAUUAGUUUCCUUUUUUUUUGCUUCUUUGUUUCUUUGUUUAUGCAAACAAUGUUAAGUUGUUAUCAGCUUAAAGUAACAGGUCAUAAAGAAGCCAGUCAUGGUGUCUCACACUUGUAAUGCCAGCACUUUGAGAGUCCAAGGUGGGUGGAUCACUUGAGGUCAGAAGUUUGAGACCAGCCUGGCCAAUAUGGCGAAACCCCAUCGCUACUAAAAAUACAAAAAUUAGCCAGGUAUGGUGGCACAUGCCUGUAAUCCCAGCUACUCAGGAGGCUGAGGCAUGAGAACCCAGAAUGUGGAGGUUGAAGUAAGCCAAGAUCACACCACUGUACUCCAGCUUGGAUGACAGAGCAAGACUCUGUUUCAGAAGGAAAAAAAAAAGUCAUAAGAUAGUAUUUGCAAGCCUCAUAGUGACCUCAAACCAUAAAAACAUACAAUGAAUACACAAAAAGUAAAAAGCUAGAAACUAAAUCAUAUUACUAGAGAAAAAUCACUUUCACUAAAGGAAGGAAAGAAAGAAGGCAGAGAACAUCACAGAACAACUAGAAAACAAGUUAACACAAUGGCGGGAGUAAGUUCUUACUUAUCAAUAUUAACAUUGAUUGUAAAUAAGAACACCAAUAAAAUGAAAGAUUACAUCAAGUUAAAAAGUUAAAAAGCUUCUGCACAGCAAAGGAAACAGUCAAUAAAGUGGUAACCCCGCAGAGUGGGCAAAAAAUAUUUGCAAACUACCCAUGUGACAAGGGAUUAAUAACCAGAAUAUAUAAGGAGCUCAAACAACUCUAGAGAAAAACAAAUCUAAUAAUCUGAUCAAAAAAUAGGCAAGAUAUUUGAAUAGACAUUUCUCAAAAAAGACAUACAAAUGGCAAACAGUCAUAUGAAAAGGUGCUCAACAUCAUUGAUCAUCAGAACAAUGCAAAUAAAAACUACAAUGAAAUGUCAUCUCAUCCCUGUUAAAAUCGAUUGUAUCCAAAAGACAGGCAAAAACAAAUGCUGGUGAAAUGUGGAGAAAAGGGAACCCUCAUACACUGUUGGUGGGAAUGUAAGUUAGCCCAACCACUAUGAAUAGUGGUUUGAAGGUUCCUCAAAAAGCUAAAUAUGGAGCUACCAUAUGGUUCAGCCAUCCCACUGCUGGGUAUAGACCCAAAAGAAAGGAAAUCAGUAUAUUGAAGAGAUGUCUGCACUCCCGUGUUUGUUUCAGCACUGUUCACAGUAGCAAAGAUUUUGAAACAACCCAAGUGUCCCUCAAUAGAUGAAUAGAUAAACGAAAUGUGGUGCUUUUACACAAUGGAGUACUGUUCAGCCAUAAAAAUGAAUGAGAUCCUGUUCUUUACAACAACAUGGGUGGAAAUGAAGAUCAUUAUAUUAAGUGAUAUAAGCCAGACACAGAAAGACAAACAUUACAUCUUCUCAUGUACUUAUGGGAUCUGAAGAUCAAAAUAAUUGAACUCCAUGGACAUAGAGAGUAGAAGAAUGGUUACCAUAGGCUGGGAUUAGUAGUGGGACAGGUGGGGCAGGGGGCAGGUUAGGACAGGUAAUAGGUACAAAAAUAAUAGGAAGAAUGAAUAAGACCUACUAUUUGUUAGCAUAAAAUGGUACUUGUAAUCAAUUACACUUAAUUAUAUGUUUUAAAAUAACUCAAAGAGUAUAAUUGGAUUCUUUGUAACACAAAGAAUAAAUGUUUGAGGAGAUGGAUACCCUAUUCAGCAUGAUGUGUUAUUAUGCAUUGCAGGCCUGUAUCAAAGCAUUUCAAGUACGCUAUAGAUAUAUACACCUACUAUGUACUCACAAAAAUUAACAAAUUAAAAAAUUAAAGAAAACAGAGUGAGAAUGGGAUGGUGAGCAGGUGGUAUAAGGUAUAUGAUAUUGGUGUUCAGACUGUUAUCCAAAACCCUAAGAAUAGGCCAGGUGCGGUGGCUCACACCUGUAAUCCCAGCACUUUGCGAGGCUGAGGCGGGUAGAUCAUGUGGUGAGGAGUUCAAGACCAGCCUGGCCAAGAUGGUAAAACCCUGUCUCUAGUAAAAAUACAAAAAUUAGCCAGGCAUGGUGGUGGGCGCCUGUAAUCCCAGCUACUUAGGAGGCUGAGGCAGAGAAUUGCUUGAACCCAGGAGGCAGAGGUUGCAGUGAGCUGAGAUCAUGCCACUGCACUCCAGCCUGGGCAACAGAGCGAGACUCUGUCUCAAAAAAAAAAGGCAAAAAAAACAAAA
Molecule: long non-coding RNA, 11910 nt
Filed under: Homo sapiens (human)
Lineage: Eukaryota; Metazoa; Chordata; Mammalia; Primates; Hominidae
Description: HSALNT0257907
Source: RNAcentral